RNAcentral lists this ribosomal RNA (424 nucleotides) under uncultured bacterium. Its description in RNAcentral is "bacterial SSU rRNA". It matches the Rfam family "Bacterial small subunit ribosomal RNA", at positions 37 to 507 of the family's 1533-position model. The record is from RNAcentral.
UGGCGGCAUGCCUAACACAUGCAAGUCGAACGAAGCCUUCGGGCUUAGUGGCGCACGGGUGCGUAACGCGUGGGAAUCUGCCCUUGGGUUCGGAAUAACAGUUAGAAAUGACUGCUAAUACCGAAUGAUGUCUUCGGACCAAAGAUUUAUCGCCCAAGGAUGAGCCCGCGUCGGAUUAGCUAGUUGGUGAGGUAAAGGCUCACCAAGGCGACGAUCCGUAGCUGGUCUGAGAGGAUGAUCAGCCACACUGGGACUGAGACACGGCCCAGACUCCUACGGGAGGCAGCAGUGGGGAAUAUUGGACAAUGGGCGAAAGCCUGAUCCAGCAAUGCCGCGUGAGUGAUGAAGGCCUUAGGGUUGUAAAGCUCUUUUACCCGGGAUGAUAAUGACAGUACCGGGAGAAUAAGCCCCGGCUAACUCCGUG